GUGAACGCCCUCACGGGCUUAUAACUAUUCCAAACCUCUGUGAACCGUGCCCUUCGGGGCUAUUUUACAAACAUGGUGUAAUGAGCGUCAUAUAUCAUAACAAAACA
RNAcentral lists this unclassified non-coding RNA (107 nucleotides) under soil metagenome. Its description in RNAcentral is "partial internal transcribed spacer 1". The record is from RNAcentral.